GGGUGACGAGCGGCGGACGGGUGAGUAAUGUCUGGGAAACUGCCUGAUGGAGGGGGAUAACUACUGGAAACGGUAGCUAAUACCGCAUAACGUCGCAAGACCAAAGAGGGGGACCUUCGGGCCUCUUGCCAUCAGAUGUGCCCAGAUGGGAUUAGCUAGUAGGUGGGGUAAUGGCUCACCUAGGCGACGAUCCCUAGCUGGUCUGAGAGGAUGACCAGCCACACUGGAACUGAGACACGGUCCAGACUCCUACGGGAGGCAGCAGUGGGGAAUAUUGCACAAUGGGCGCAAGCCUGAUGCAGCCAUGCCGCGUGUAUGAAGAAGGCCUUCGGGUUGUAAAGUAC
Molecule: ribosomal RNA, 344 nt
Filed under: Enterobacteriaceae bacterium R-31537
Lineage: Bacteria; Pseudomonadati; Pseudomonadota; Gammaproteobacteria; Enterobacterales; Enterobacteriaceae
Description: bacterial SSU rRNA
Rfam family: Bacterial small subunit ribosomal RNA
Source: RNAcentral